This is a long non-coding RNA of Cavia porcellus (domestic guinea pig), 3397 nucleotides long. RefSeq lists it as uncharacterized. Lineage: Eukaryota; Metazoa; Chordata; Mammalia; Rodentia; Caviidae. The transcript has 3 exons. The record is from RefSeq and is a predicted model, not a curated record.
CCCGGUGGCUCGCUUCUCUCCUGCUUUUCCCCCAGGCCAUCUGGGCGGCCACAGCCAGUGUUCUCACCACACCCUGCAACCCUCACCACCCAGAAAGGCUGGCCACACCCUGCCUGCUCCUGGAAGGUAAACAGGGCCAAAGAAGGCCCACACUGUGUGCCUGCCAACCGCCCUUUGGCUCCGCAGCCAUGGGACACAAAUGCCACAAGCCAGUGAACAGUGAAAGUCAGAACGGAGGCCCUCUUGAACCCCAGCUGACCUCAACUCCAAGUCAAUCAGUCUCGGGGAUUUGAGUCUGGCACAACUUCCUGGUGGCUGGAGGUGGCAAGAGGAGGGCACGCUUUCCUGGGGAAGCUAGGAACUUGUCAGUGUCGCCCAGAGCAGAACUGUUGGGGUUCCAGCCAAGAGCCUCACAGUGAGAAUGUCCACAUUCUUUCCAUCUCCAGAAAUGAGUUUAAUCUCAUCAGCUAAGAAAUACAAGCAUUUCUUUCCUCCACAUCCAACACCGUGUUGCUUACACAUGCACUGAUUCGCUGAGUACACGCAGCCUCCUAUGAGACAGGUUUUACUAUUUUCCUUUGCAGGUGAGGAGACCGUGGAAGAAAGGGCAUGCACAGGCUUCGCAGCGACGUUCAGCUCCUACGGGCCAGGGCCAGAACCGAGUCCUGGCAAUCUGGUACAGCCCUGCCUGGAGGCUGGUGUUUAUGUUUACAGCAAUUUCUGUCAAAGAAAAGUAUUAUGAUGUGUCUUUAUCCACCUUGUUCACUGGAUCCCGCACUAUGUGACUCCUGGCUGUUCCCCAAGGUCAAAAUAACCAUGAAAGGUCAUGUAAUGUGAACAUUCAUAAUUGGUGGUGCAGAAAAGUACUAACAACGGUGCAUGUAUUUCAGACUUUAGAUGUCAUUAAAAGACUCUGAAGAAGACCUAUGAGCCGUUAUGAUAUGAUACACUUGUGGGACAGAAGACUGACUUCUGCAAAAUAUCAGAAAUGAUACUGAAAACAUGGAAAAUGCCAUUAAAUGCAGUUACGCACCAAUGAGUGUAGAUUUAUGUGCUCAGGAAACAUACUCUUUUGUAGUUUAAAUUUAUUAAUUAGGAAAAUUGCUUUGAAUUACCUAAGUUCUAAUGAUGUGGUCUUCAGCAAGUAUUCACUGCAUAAAAUGAACCAGUGUUUCAUCCUAGGGACUUAAAUAUCCAAUACACUCAGUAGCUAUAUUUCUCAUUACAAUUUAUAAAUUGAAGGUUUUGAUUGUACAUCAGUUUCUAAUGAGCUUGGUUAUGAGUUACCUCUGGCAGUGCUGAGGAAAAUCAAGUUUCCCAACUCAUAAGUCCAGAGCCUGCCUCUCUGUUGUGACAAUUCAGCCCCUAGUGUGCGACAGCAUAGACGUAGUUGGGUGGACCUCCAUUUUUAUCAAACUUUGAUGAAGAAUCAGGCCUUUAAGGAGGCAAGUAGAACAUAUGCAGUGGUAAUUCCCUCUUCAGUUAAUAAUAGAAGUCACCAUACUUUUGGUGCUUUUUAUGUCAGGCAUAUUCUGAGUACUUUAUAUACGUUAUUUCAUUUAUUGACCCAAUAAUCCAUGUUUAUAGACAAAUAAGGAAUCUAAGAUGUGGAAAUAUUGACUAAUUCAGAUCAUUAACUAGGAUGUGGUAAAGAUAGCUAUUUCAGUGUCUAACUUAUUUUCAAAUACUCCCGGAUAGCCAGGCAUGAUGGUGCACACCUGUAAUCCCAGACUUCAGGAGGUUGAGACAGGAGGACUGCUGUGAGUACAAAGCCAGUCUGAGCUGCACAGUGAAUCCAAGGCCAGCCUGAACUGCUUAGUGAAGUCCUUUCUCAGAACAAUGCCUGCACUUAUUACUUUAGGCCACAAUGGAAGAAAGUCUUAGGGCAGUCAGCUAAUCAGAGACUGGUCAACAGUCUGAGAGCGCUGAGAUUGAAGGACGUCCAGAGAACUACUAAAGCACAUUUCUGGGUGUGUCCACGAGGGCGUUUUGGGAGAGACUUGUAGAUGAGUCCUAGAACUGAAUGAAGAAGACCUGUCCCAAGUGUGAGUGACACCACCCAGUUGGUUGAGGCCUACAGGAACAAAAUCCAAAGUGGGGAGGUCUGCACUAUGUGCAUUCGAUCCUAUUCAAAUAGGUGUGUGUGUGUGUGUGUGUGUGUGUGUGUGUGUGUGUGUGUGUGUCUGUUGUUUGUUUUUGCUAUUGUUGCCCCGCAUCAGAUCUCAGGCUCUUCAGCUUUCAAACACAGACUUGCACCUCUGGCUCUCUGAGGGUUUUCAAGUCUUUGGCCUUAGACUGGGGCUGCAUCUCUAGCUGCUCUCCUGUUCUGAGGCUGCCAGCUCCUUGUUCUGAGCAUCUGCUGGCUUCUCCAGCUCUCCGGCCUGUAGAUGGUUAUUGUGGUACUAUUGGCUACUAAGCAUGUAAGCCAGUCAAAUAAACCCACUCAUAUAUUCUAUCCAUUCUGUUUCUCUGGAGAACCCUGACCAAGUGACAAUUACUUCAGAUCUUUUCUGUGACUCUAAAGGUGAGUGGGAAUUGAAUUCAGAGCUGUCACCAGAAGCUAUGUGCUUAACCAUGAGGCUAGAGCAAGACCCAUGCUGCAGAAAAAAGAAAGAAAGAAAAGGAAAGAAAGAAGAAGAAAAGAAAAAGUGUCUUGACUUUAACCUUUGAAAUAGAAAGUAGAUGAAAAACAAGAACAGAUAACCCAAGAUUUUGGGAAAUAAUAUGUGGCCAGCCUCAUAUAAGAUGGUGAUCUUCCUCAAAGAUGACUGGCACAGGUGGGGGACACGAGAUGCUACCUCUUGAUGCAUUCCUAUGAACCUCUGCCACUCUCACCUCUUUGUGUCAACAUUUCAGAGAUGACCAAAACCCUUAACCGUAGGACACAUGGAACUAGGCCAAAUCUAACUGCAAUGUUAUCAGAAGGAAGUUGGACUAUGUACUUAUUAUGAAACUCUGAGCAAUUCUCAGGAACUGUGAACAUAUUUUGAGAACCAGAACACACAGUGUCCUCAGGAAGCCUUUGUAUUUGUAGACAAGGAGUGGAAUUUGACUCCUCCUAAAGGUCCUCUCGCCAAGUACUUUGGUUCUUGUCCUCCGUUCUUCGGAAUCAGGCCCAUCUGUGUCUCCCGACCCUUUCCAGAGUGGCCACCCCUCCAUCCUUGUCCGAUGAGCUGCGUUCCGUUCAGUGCAGAAUGUCUUCACUUCAGCUUGGAUUGAUGAAUUAUGGAUAAAACUGUCCAGUUCCCCCCCAAUUCCACCUGACAGCAAAGCAUCUUAAAUGAGUACCUUGGUACAACUGCUGCUUUCUUGUUUUAAGAUGGUGAAUUAUAUUAAUUUUUGAAAGGAAACUCAACCUUGAAUUUCCUGAAUAAAUCAGUUUAAUGAGCAAAUUUGA